UUAUCUCAUGCUCAAGCUACUGUUCGGCGCCGUAAACAUUCAGAUUUCCAUGGUUCCCAUUAAAAAGAAUUGUACCAGCUUGAAGCUCCACCAAUAAAUGAGUUUGUUUGAUGCGAUGAACAUCUCCGUCAGAUUUCUGAAAGAUUAAACUCUGUAACGCAACAGCUUCAACCUCAUCCUUUACAAGAAGUCUCCGCUUAUCCAAGGGACCAUCAAUGCCAACCAAAACUCAGCGAUCAUUAACGUGUUGCAGUCAGGAGACUCAAGGCAUGGAGAAACAGAGAAGAUAUAGAUUUCGUUGUUGAAGUCGAGAUUCGAAAGAAAGUUUUGUGAAAAUUGUUGAUCAGAGACUGAGAGUAGAGAACGUGGAAGAGAGGUUGAGAAGUUUUUCUUGGUGGGACUAAAAUAUGCUCAGAUGGGGCCGGAGAAGAGACCAACAAUGUCUGAAGUGGUGGAGAUGCUAAUGAAUAAAUUAAUGGAGAAAAUGUCGUCUGAACUUGAAGCCAAUUCUCUCUUCAAGAAUCCAUGUAGCAGCAAUUAAAACUGUAGAGAGCAUCAGGAGGUUGCAGAUGAAAGCUCAUAUGUGAUCUCAGAAGAAAAGGAUCAUUAUUAAUAAGGUUUUUAGGCACAUGACAUUUGUUUUCUCAGAUUAGUUUUUAACAUCUUCUCUUAAUUAUAUUAACACAUGACAAAGCUACUCCAUUUCCAAAUUUCUACUAACACACUUCUCCACUGAAACUUCCAUUA
Molecule: long non-coding RNA, 747 nt
Organism: Brassica oleracea var. oleracea
Lineage: Eukaryota; Viridiplantae; Streptophyta; Magnoliopsida; Brassicales; Brassicaceae
Exons: 4
Source: RefSeq, a predicted model, not a curated record